UACAGAGGUCCCGAGCGUUGUUCGGAUUCACUGGGCGUAAAGGGUGCGUAGGUGGUAGGGUAAGUCGGAUGUGAAAUCUCGGAGCUCAACUCCGAAAUGGCAUUGGAAACUGCUCUGCUUGAGGGUUGGAGGGGGGACUGGAAUGCUUGGUGUAGCAGUGAAAUGCGUAGAUAUCAAGCGGAACACCAGUGGCGAAGGCGAGUCCCUGGACAACACCUGACACUGAGGCACGAAAGCUAGGGGAGCAAAC
This 250-nucleotide ribosomal RNA is filed under the name uncultured bacterium. Its description in RNAcentral is "partial 16S ribosomal RNA". It matches the Rfam family "Bacterial small subunit ribosomal RNA", at positions 524 to 773 of the family's 1533-position model. The record is from RNAcentral.